RNAcentral lists this ribosomal RNA (196 nucleotides) under uncultured bacterium. Its description in RNAcentral is "partial 16S ribosomal RNA". It matches the Rfam family "Bacterial small subunit ribosomal RNA", at positions 328 to 539 of the family's 1533-position model. The record is from RNAcentral.
ACGCUCGACACCUACGGGAGGAGCAGUUGGGAAUAUUGGACAAUGGAGGAAACUCUGAUCCAGUGACGCCGCGUGAAGGAAGAAGGUCUUCGGAUUGUAAACUUAUUUUGUCAGGGAAGAAAAAUGACUGUACCUGAAGAAAAGCACCGGCUAACUACGUGUCAGCAGCCGCGGUAAUCUGAGCGGCUGGCAAGGC